RNAcentral lists this ribosomal RNA (852 nucleotides) under uncultured Acidithiobacillus sp. RNAcentral's name for it is "partial 16S ribosomal RNA". It matches the Rfam family "Bacterial small subunit ribosomal RNA", at positions 168 to 941 of the family's 1533-position model. Lineage: Bacteria; Pseudomonadati; Pseudomonadota; Acidithiobacillia; Acidithiobacillales; Acidithiobacillaceae. The record is from RNAcentral.
UNCCGNUAANAUCCUGCCUUUNAANAGGCGGUGAUCAAGCUGGGGAUCGCAAGACCUAGCACUCGAAGAGGGGCCCGCGUCCGAUUAGCUAGUUGGUGGGGUAAUGGCCCACCAAGGCAACGAUCGGUAGCCGGCCUGAGAGGGCGGACGGCCACACUGGGACUGAGACACGGCCCAGACUCCUACGGGAGGCAGCAGUGGGGAAUUGUUCGCAAUGGGCGCAAGCCUGACGACGCAACGCCGCGUGGAGGAUGAAGAUCUUCGGGUCGUAAACUCCUUUCGAUCGAGACGAAUUCCUCCGGGAUGAACAAUCCCGGAGGUUGACGGUACCGAGAGAAGAAGCCCCCGGCUAACUCCGUGCCAGCAGCCGCGGUAAUACGGGGGGGCAAGCGUUGUUCGGAAUUACUGGGCGUAAGGGCCUCGUANGUGGCCNACUAAGUCGGACGUGAAUCCCUCGGCUUAACCGGGGAACUGCGUCCGAUACUUGGUUGNCUUGAUUUGGNAAAGGGAUGCGNAUUUCNGGUGUACCGGUUGAAAUGCGUAAAUUNUGGAGAACNCGGUGGNGANGCGGCAUCCUGGACAAUACUGACCCUGAAGAACAAAGCNAGGGAACCAACGGGAUUAAUUCCCGGNAUCCUGGCCUAACANUAAUNUUGNNUGCGGUUNAUCCUGCGNGCCAANUAACNUUAAAAUCCCCUGGGAAAAGGCCCUAAACGAUGAAUGCUUGGUGUGGCGGGUAUCGAUCCCUGCCGUGCCGAAGCUAACGCAUUAAGCAUUCCGCCUGGGGGAGUACGGUCGCAAGAUUAAAACUCAAAGGAAUUGACGGGGGCCUGCACCAANCGGUGGAGCAUG